GUCCCCAUCGUCUAACCGGUUAGGAUACCACUCUUUCAAGGUGGUGACACGGGUUCAAAUCCCGUUGGGGACACCA
Molecule: transfer RNA, 76 nt
Filed under: Candidatus Cloacimonadota bacterium
Lineage: Bacteria; Pseudomonadati; Candidatus Cloacimonadota
Also listed under: 1 other name
Description: Candidatus Cloacimonetes bacterium tRNA-Glu
Rfam family: tRNA
About the family: Transfer RNA (tRNA) molecules are approximately 80 nucleotides in length. Their secondary structure includes four short double-helical elements and three loops (D, anti-codon, and T loops). Further hydrogen bonds mediate the characteristic L-shaped molecular structure. tRNAs have two regions of fundamental functional importance: the anti-codon, which is responsible for specific mRNA codon recognition, and the 3' end, to which the tRNAs corresponding amino acid is attached (by aminoacyl-tRNA synthetases). tRNAs cope with the degeneracy of the genetic code in two manners: having more than one tRNA (with a specific anti-codon) for a particular amino acid; and 'wobble' base-pairing, i.e. permitting non-standard base-pairing at the 3rd anti-codon position.
Source: RNAcentral